AGAGUUUGAUCCUGGCUCAGGAUGAACGCUGGCGGCGUGCCUAAUACAUGCAAGUCGAGCGGUAAGGCUCCUUCGGGAGUACACGAGCGGCGGACGGCUGAGUAACGCGUAGGAACGUACCCCAAAGUGAGGAAUAAGCACCAGAAAUGGUGUCUAAUGCCGCAUGUGAUCUUCGGAUUAAAGCUUCGGUGCUUUGGGAG
This 200-nucleotide ribosomal RNA is filed under the name uncultured bacterium. Its description in RNAcentral is "partial 16S ribosomal RNA". It matches the Rfam family "Bacterial small subunit ribosomal RNA", at positions 8 to 226 of the family's 1533-position model. The record is from RNAcentral.